AUUAGGAAAUAUUGAGAAUAAAAUAGAAAAACUUGAGGAUAAAAUAGGAAAUAUUGAGAAUAAAAUGGGAGAUAUGGAAGAUAAAAUAGGAAAAAUUGAGGAUAAAAUGCAAGCCCAAUUAGAAGAUCUAAAAUGUUUCUUACAGGAUCAAUGGGCAAACACCCACUCUAUCAGAAACAGACCUGUUUCUGAACCUUUGAAUGAGGAAAUUUCCUUCCCUGAAAUAGAGAUGGAAAACACCUUCCCUAUAGCCCAGUUAACAGACUGCUUCUCUCGUGUAGUGCAAAUCUUGUCUGAAUUUAAUCCCCAAAACCCUUCCCCUGCAAUCCCAGCUUCUCAUGUUCCUUCUCCUACAGAAAACCAAAUUCCAAUGCAAGGGAGAUCUUGUCCUCCUAGAGAAACCUGUCCUUGUCAAACUGACCCACAGGUGCAAAAUCCAACUAGAGGCCUGUUUCCUCUAAGAGAAGUACCUGAAAUAGGACGAAAUGGGGAUGUGGUGACUUUAAGACAUAGGAUACCGUUUACUCCCCAAGAAAUAAAUGAAUUUACACGAAAUAUCCCCACAUAUGAACAAGAUCCUUUUCUAGUAACAAAAAAGAUGGGAGACAUAUUUUUUCAGUAUAAUCCGUCUUACAAGGACGUUGAGAGCUUACUACAGGCUUUUUUAAGUGAACGUGAAAAAAAUAAAAUAAUUGCUCAUGUCAACAAAACCCGGGGGCGUAAUGCAGCACAUUGGCCAUCUCAGGAUCCCAAAUGGGACUAUAAUAAUCCUGAGGACUAUCUACAACUAUACCGUUGUAGAGAGGCCAUCCUCACGGCCAUGAAGGAAUGUGCGGAUAGUACAGAUAAGUGGAUGGAACUGGAAAAAAUUAAGCAAAAGGAAAACGAAACACCCUCCAGAUUUAUGGACAGAAUUAUCGAGUUUGGGGACAGAUACUUAGAUUGGGACUUAAAUAAAGAGAAUAGUUUAAGACAAGUUAGAAGAAUCUUUGUAAACAAUUCUUGCAAAGUAAUUAAAAAUUAUUUUAAAACACAAUGCCCAAGAUGGUCAGAUAUGGACCUUGAAGAAUUGCGAAAAACAGCUAUAUAUGUUUUUAAGGGAAACGAAGAAAAGGAGAAAGAGAAUAAUGAUGACAUGGAGGAAAUGAAGAAAAAAAUGAGAUGUGUAAUAGAUAGGAUAACUAAAUUAGAAAGUGGGCAUGAUAAUGAACCAACGACAAUUGCCCCUCUCCAGAAAUCCAAUUAUCAAUCCAUUACUUGCCACUUCUGUGAGAAGAAGGGCCACAAAAUGAUGGAAUGUAGAACCUUUCUUAAGAUGUUUGGAAGGAAUACACAGUUUAAUAAUGGUUUUAGAAAUAAUAACUAUAGAAAUUAUGAUAAUGGUUAUAGAAACCAGAAUUCUAGAAAUUAUAAUAAUGACUAUGGAAAUAACUAUAAUGAAUAUAGAAAUAAGAACUUUAGAAACCAGAAUUAUAGAAAUAGGAAUUGGGAAAUUAAUGACAAUGCUCAAAUUGAAGAAAAUUUUAAUGAUAAUACUCAACAAUAUAUGAGAAAUGGCGCUCGUCCAAAAAUUACUCGAGGUGCUAAUGAUCCUCAGAGAGGUGCCCUUCAGGAGGGUGCCCAGGGAACUUCCCAGUAUAAUAAAGAUGAUUCUUCUUAGAUUGUAUUGAUUUUGUUGAUAUUAAUUAACCUUUUUCAGUUUUUUUUCUCCU
RNAcentral lists this long non-coding RNA (1712 nucleotides) under Monodelphis domestica (gray short-tailed opossum). RNAcentral describes it as "lncRNA (ENSMODG00000029463.2)". The record is from RNAcentral. Lineage: Eukaryota; Metazoa; Chordata; Mammalia; Didelphimorphia; Didelphidae.